GUGUUAUGUAAAAGAGAAGGUUAGUACACCCUUCACUGAGGAUGGAACCUUUAUCACACAUACCGUGGUUAAGGGUUGCCUCUGACUCUGUGGCAUCUAACCAAGUUUUCUU
This 112-nucleotide non-coding RNA is filed under the name Notamacropus eugenii (tammar wallaby). Lineage: Eukaryota; Metazoa; Chordata; Mammalia; Diprotodontia; Macropodidae. The record is from RNAcentral.